UAAGAAUAAUCUAAUUAUAUUAAUAUGGAACAAUAUAGAGAAGAUUAGCAUGUCCCCUACGAAAGUAUGACACACAUCUACCAAAUGCUCGUUAUAUUUUC
Molecule: non-coding RNA, 101 nt
Organism: Cucumis sativus (cucumber)
Lineage: Eukaryota; Viridiplantae; Streptophyta; Magnoliopsida; Cucurbitales; Cucurbitaceae
Source: Rfam